CCCUGGCUGGCUUAGUCGGUAGAGCACGUGACUCUCGAUCUUGGGGUCAUGAGUUCAAACUUUGUGUUGGGCA
This 73-nucleotide transfer RNA is filed under the name Felis catus (domestic cat). It matches the Rfam family "tRNA". From Rfam's summary of the family: Transfer RNA (tRNA) molecules are approximately 80 nucleotides in length. RNAcentral also lists the same sequence under 3 other names. Lineage: Eukaryota; Metazoa; Chordata; Mammalia; Carnivora; Felidae. The record is from Rfam by way of RNAcentral.